GGUUCUCGUACGAUCACAGAAAUUAAGCAACGUUGGGCCUGACCUGUACCUAGAUGGGUGAUCGCGUGAUAAUAUCAGGUGCCGCAAU
This is a non-coding RNA of Acanthosepion pharaonis, 88 nucleotides long. NCBI's taxonomy places the organism in Eukaryota, Metazoa, Mollusca, Cephalopoda, Sepiida, Sepiidae. The record is from the annotation of a GenBank genome assembly.